RNAcentral lists this long non-coding RNA (29144 nucleotides) under Vitis vinifera (wine grape). RNAcentral's name for it is "long non-coding RNA (VVIN_LNC003484)". Lineage: Eukaryota; Viridiplantae; Streptophyta; Magnoliopsida; Vitales; Vitaceae. The record is from RNAcentral.
CAAGCCAAUCUCUGUCUGGAAGUUUGUCCGGGAUGAUUGGGAACCUCACCAAUCUUAAACAAGUGUGAGCAAACACAACUUAUUUUUUCCGUUUUUUGAUAUUUCAUUGAAAGUUUCACAACCCCUGUUGUUUUCACUAUUUAAUUUUGAGUUUCUUACUCUCAUGUUUGGUUCCUGAGAAAAUGGAGGAGAAGAAAAUAAAAUAAGAUUUUGUAGCUUAAGUUUUAUGUUGCUUUGUUUUUCCUUAAAUGGAAGCUAUCAAAAAUCUAAUAUUCAAAAUUUUAGCUCUUUUUUUUUUUUUCCAUUUUCUCAGUAACCAAGCACAGCUUUGACAUUUAUUUUUUCUGUAAAAGGGGUGACAAAAGUGACUCCAACCAUUUACAGCCUUAUUAUCUAGAUUCUGAUUUUACACAUUCCUGUGUUGGUGUGAAUUUGCAGGUUAUUGCAGAACAACAAUAUCUCCGGCCCGAUUCCAACGGAGCUCGGUACUCUUCCGAGACUUCAAACGUUGGAUCUCUCCAAUAACCGCUUCGCAGGAGCUGUCCCAGCGUCUCUGGGUCAGUUGAGUAAUCUUCAUUACCUGUGAGUAUUUGCAUACUUUUUUCUGUCCUGUUUGGAUGGUGGGAAAAUGUAAGAGCCUCGGCGAGUAUGCUUGUUCUCUUUUGGAAGCCAAAAGAUGUCUAAAAUGAAAUUUAAAACUAUAUUUCCUUCUUUUUUCCUUUAGUUUUCUCAGCAACCAAACAGAGAAUAUGUGCCUUUUUCUCCAUGUAUUACUCUGUUUCAGACCUGAUUGUUUUUUUUUAACUGGGUGUUUUUGUCACUUACUAGGAGGCUGAACAACAACAGCUUGUCUGGAGCAUUUCCUGUGUCUUUAGCCAAAAUCCCACAACUUGCUUUCUUGUGAGUAUGGCUUUUGUUUGUUUUUUGGGUUUCUGAGUAUCUUGAAAAUUGAAACAACCUGCAAUUUCUGGAUAUAUUCAUUGUAAUAGACCUAUCAGUUGAAAAAUCCAUUGAUGGGUUCUGUUGGUGUGUACUCUUUGAUAAUUCAGGGACUUGUCUUAUAACAAUCUCAGUGGACCUGUGCCUAAAUUUCCAGCCAGAACAUUCAAGUAAAGUUGAACUGCAACUCCUCUCUCUUCUGAAGGGUCUUUCUGGUCUAUAUUUCAUUUAUUUGAUUCUGUUUUGUUCUUUCUUUUGUCUUGUCAUAUAGUGUUGUGGGAAACCCCUUGAUUUGUGAGGCCAGCUCCACGGAUGGUUGCUCUGGAUCAGCCAAUGCGGUCCCUCUUUCCAUCUCUCUUAAUUCAUCAACUGGUCACCCUCUCUCUCUCUCUCUCUUUCUAACCCUUUUCUGUCUAGACUUUAUAUUAUUUUUCAUCUAAAAUUCUACUGCCAUAUUUUUUUCUUCUCAGGAAAACCGAAGUCCAAGAAAGUAGCAAUUGCACUUGGGGUCAGCCUCAGUAUUGUCUCUCUCAUCCUCUUAGCACUUGGAUAUCUUAUUUGCCAGAGAAGAAAACAAAGAAACCAGACCAUCUUAAACAUCAAUGGUUAGUAACUGAAAAACCCAACAAAAAGCUCCCUUGUAAAACAGCAAUUGACCAAAACCUUAAAUGAGAAUCUAAAUUUGUUGCAGAUCAUCAAGAAGAGGGUCUAAUAAGCCUGGGCAACCUAAGAAACUUCACUCUAAGAGAACUCCAACUUGCCACAGACAAUUUCAGCACCAAGAACAUACUUGGUAGCGGAGGUUUUGGUAAUGUAUAUAAGGGUAAGCUAGGAGAUGGGACUAUGGUGGCAGUGAAACGGCUUAAAGAUGUGACGGGAACUGCUGGAGAAUCACAGUUCAGGACUGAAUUGGAGAUGAUUAGCUUGGCAGUUCACCGGAAUUUGCUUCGGCUGAUUGGCUACUGUGCCACCCCAAAUGAGAGGCUUUUGAUUUACCCCUACAUGUCUAAUGGCAGUGUGGCCUCCAGGCUUAGAGGUUGGUACUAUCUAAGAAUUAUGCUACUAGUAUUAAUCAAACACAUGGUGGGUAUGAUUAUUUCAUCUCAUAUUCUUCAAAAAGGACUGCAUGACCAACCAUAUUAUUGUACUUGCUUACAUCUGAGCUUGCUAUGGACCACAUUGAUGUUUUUCAUUGUGACUUGGUUUGUACCACCAUAUCUUGAGGGGCCCAGAGUUUUAAUUCUGAGCUCAAAUAGAUGUGACAGAUUGGGAUAAUUUGAAGUGCCUAGUUUGUUUGUCUGUUUGUUUGUUUUUCUCAAUAAUUGAAAUUUUUAGUUCUGAGCCCCCAGUUUUUGCUGAUUUUUUUGGACCAGUCUUGAUUUUGAACUUGGGAGUAUAUAUGUGCUGCUGAAUAAAUAGAUCUCAUGGUCUUUUAUUGUGAAUUAGGGGCAGUACAUCUCCUGAUGGACCUGGAUAUUUGGCAAAAAAAAAAUUUGUUUUUGUUUUUCUUUUCCUUUUUCAUGGGAUUGGGCUUUUCUGAAAUUUUCUGAAGUUCAUUGAAGUUUAAGAGGCUUUGGAAACCAUUUUUAUAAUUUAAUCAAGGGUGUACUGUUCAAGUUCUGCUGUCGGUUUCCAGGACAGCAGUUCAUUUAUGCAUAAAUUCCCUAUGUGCUCAUAAUGUUGAGUGCAUGAAGUUGAUAGUAUCACACAAGUUUCCGGCACAUUCAAUACAAAUUCCAAAUCUAAGUUUGAGUCUGACUAAUCUUAACCACUAGAUAUCCCUGCCUUAAAAAAAAAUACUUCUUCAUUCUAGUACAUGGUUAGAGAGAGUUUAUCUCUAUCUUCAAUUUUAGGGCACAUUAGCAUUCAAGUGAUCAUUUUAAUUUGUUGAUUAUAAUAGGAAAACCAGCAUUAGACUGGAACACAAGGAAGAGGAUAGCAAUUGGCGCUGCACGGGGUCUUCUAUAUCUACAUGAGCAGUGCGAUCCAAAGAUAAUCCACAGAGAUGUGAAGGCUGCUAAUGUGCUCCUGGAUGACUAUUGUGAGGCUAUUGUUGGUGACUUUGGCCUUGCAAAGCUCCUUGACCAUUCUGAUUCCCAUGUUACCACUGCUGUCCGUGGAACUGUUGGGCACAUUGCACCUGAGUACCUCUCCACUGGCCAAUCAUCUGAGAAAACUGAUGUCUUUGGGUUUGGUAUUCUCUUGUUGGAGCUCAUAACUGGAAUGAGAGCUCUUGAGUUUGGCAAAACGGUUAAUCAGAAAGGAGCCAUGCUUGAAUGGGUAAGUAAUUUGCUACUGUUAUAUGCUGAAUUGUAGUUAUCAGUAUAAUUAUCAGUAGGUUGAAGUUUGAGUUUGGUAUCUUAACUCAUCAUAAUUCAUUCAUUCCACUUUCACUUACCCACCUGAAUUAAGUGUAGUUAGAUUUCAAGUUUUCUGAUUAAAAUCACAAACAAUUAACACACACUGGUCUUGGAGCCUAGUAACUCUAGCUGCAUCUUCCUGGGGCUAAUAUAGUAGCUUCAGGGCAGAGCACCGAAAUGUAAGUUCUGAUCAUUUUAAGAAUGCUUUCGAGGUUAAGUGUAGCGUUGGGAAAAUAUGAAACCAUAGUGGUGUCCUUAGAAAGCCCUGUCCUAACAUAAUUGGCUGCAUUGCAGGUCAGAAAUUUCUAUAUCAUGGUAAUUUGUAACCUUUUUUUUUUAAACACAAAAUCAUCCCUACAUUUUAAUUUCUUUGCUGAUUAGUUUUCAAGUAGUUGAAGAGGUGUUUCUGGCUAUGCAUUCCUAUUAGAUAUUGAUCCAUUACUAUAGCAAACCUAUUGUUUAAAACCUUUUUUAAAAUCUUGAGGUAAUGUACAGGGGAUUUCUAACAAGUCCUGGACAAGGAAUACAAACCUUGAAAUCUUACAUCUGUCACACCAAUUCCAUCUGCUGUAACAUUCAAAGCUCUCGUUACUUUCCCAGUGUGUCCUUAGAAAUGUAGAGCAUGAAGGUACUGUUAAAAGAAGAGGAAACUAAGAUCAAGGGACAUACUGCAAACAGCCCCUUUUAGGAAACUCUGUUUGAUAUGCGAACAUGAUAUAAUUUAGAUAGUCUAUAAUCAUGAGAUGCACUCUUUCCGAAGUAGCAAUUAAUGACAUCAAUUCAGAGUUGUAGUCAUAUUGUCUAGUGAAGAAUGGAAGACCCCUAUAUGGUACUAUGAAUUUUACUAAAUCCAAGUCGAGGCAAUGGUUUCAUGAACCAACAAGCAUUAAGGAAUAAGGAUAUAGCCCAGGUAGGUAUGCAGAAGGUCCUAAACAUGUUUGAAUGUUGGCUGGCAGGUGAAGAAAAUACAGCAGGAGAAGAAAGUGGAAGUGCUGGUGGACAGAGAGCUAGGCUGCAACUACGACAGGAUCGACGUGGGGGAGAUGCUACAAGUGGCUUUGCUGUGCACUCAAUAUCUGCCUGCCCACCGCCCCAAAAUGUCGGAAGUGGUCAGGAUGCUGGAAGGCGAUGGCCUAGCAGAGAAAUGGGCAGCCUCCCACAACCACAACAACAAUAAUCCCACCCCCAACAUCUCCCAUUUCAACAGCCACAAAAGUACAUGGCGCCCUACCACUGCAUCAAAGCAUGAUAACAUUGAUCAUGAUGGUUCAAGCAUGUUCGGCACCAUGAUGGACGAGGAGGACGAUGAUCAUUCCUUGGAUGCCCAUGCCAUGGAACUUUCUGGUCCAAGAUAGAACACCCCCCUAACAAGAAUAGAAAUCAAUUCUUUUUUUUUUCCAAUUCAUUAAAAAGCUAGGGUUAACUUUGUCUCAACAAAAGCAUAUAGAGAGUGCUAUCCAAUCUAGUCCUUUGUGUCUCAUUUUGCCCUCUUUUCUUUUCUUUUCUUUUCUUUUGUUAAAGCUGUAUGGGGUUGUAAACUUGAAAUGUAAAUAUUCUCGUGUCUCUCUGUUUUUCAUGUUUGGGAGAUAGGAAACUAGGUAGGAAAGUGGAAGGGAAAGCAGUGGGGAUUGCAGAGGGGAAUGACUAAUGAGGUGAGGUGGCGAUGGGGGUUGGUACAUACUGCAUCAUGAGAUGGUGUGGCAGCAGGAGUGAGACUGUGAGAGGGCAGAAGGGGGAUUGACUCAGCUGACUACAAGUGUGGAAAAUGGCAGUGUGAUGUGUGAAGCAGUGAAGUGAGGUUUGUGUGUUGUCAAGUGAGAGCUGUUAAGGGUCGUUUUCUUACUGAUGCUUUUGCAGGGUCACGCGCGUCUUCCUCUCUCUCUCUCUCUCUCUCUCUACUCUCUCUCUCUCUCAGUCUUUGUACUUUUGUACGUCUGUCCCCCAAAUACAAAAAACUGAAAAAAGGAAAAGAAAAAAAAAAUCAGUUUAUUCUACACUGUCUACAUCAGUGAAUCAGCUCCUUAUCUCUUUAAUGCAAUGUGGGUACUACCCCGUUUGGUGGCAAUGGCGGAAAAGGCACAUGGGAGAUUCAAACGUAAAUAUAUAUUUGGCUUCCUUUUUGUUUCCUUGAAUAAGUUUCUCGUUACCCACAUUCCAAACAUGGACCAUAGAGGUAUUGUGCAAAGAUAUGUUUGAAACUUAAUGAAAUAAUUUUUGUUUCAUACUUGGAAAGUGCUUUUGAAAAUAGAAAAUAAUUUUCCAAUUCAUAAAACACAUUUCACAAACUUUUAAUAAAAAAUCUUUCUUUUAAGAAUAAGUUUCAAAAAUAAUAAAUUUUAGAUAUAUAUAUAUAUAUAUAUAUUUUAACUUUUUGUAGAUUGUUGCAAAUAACAAUUGAAAAUAUGCUAUAAAAUUUCAUUUUUCUUUUAUAAAUUUCAUUAAAUUCUUAAAAAUUACAAUUAUUAAACUCUCACAUGUUUUUUUUUAAUCAAAAGAUUGUUUUUAUAAUUAGUGACUAUUUUGUAUAAUAUUGUUAUAAAUAUUAAUUAUGUAAAUAUUAAUUUUUUAAUUUUUAAUUUAUUUAUAUAAAAAAUAGUGCAUAUAUAAUUAAAAUAAAAGGCAAUUUUUUUUACUGCAAAUAAGAUUAUGAAAAAAAAUUGAACAAAAAACAAAAUUUGUAAAUCUUUCUUCAUAUAUUUUUUUGUCAUAAAUAAUUUCUUACUAAAAAAUAAUGUUCGUAUCAAAACUUCAUGUAUUAUUUGGAAAUUAUUCUUGCCAUAGCAUUAAAGAAUAAAAGUAAAUUCGUGGCUGAUAGUGAUACUUAGUCAUAAAUAAUUUUGUGGCAAAAUUUGGAGUUCAUGAUAGAAUGUCAUACAUUAUGUCAUAAUUAUUCUUGUUAUAUUUUUUUGCAAUUAAAAGUAAAUUCGUAGUUAAAAGUGACAUUUCGCAAUGAAUAAUUUUGUGGCAAAAAGUGGAGUUUAUGGUGUAAUGUUAUAUAUUGUGCAUGAAUUAUUCUCGUCAUAAUUUUGUUAACAAAAAGUGAAUUUGUGAUUAAAGUGACAUUUUGCCACAAAAUUUAGUUUAUGACAAAAAUUCAUGGAAAAAUGUUAUAUUUGUUGUGGUGUUGGAGGGAUGACUUGUCUUGAUAAUUGGAAUGAGUUUCCUAUGGUGAAUGUAUUAGUGUGUAUAGUCACACAUUAAACAUGACCUACAAUGAAUCAUGACAUUGAUUAUCAAGUAAUCAUGAUUUCAUCAAAUUACUAUUUCACAUGGACUCUAAACCUUCGAGAAAAUAUAGAGUUAGUGCUAAAGUCUUCAAUAACUUUGAUGUGUGGGUGAGCCCCCUAAGGUGGUCAUAUAUUCUUUACGAAUUGGGUCCUUGUUGAUUAAGGUAAGUGAUAUUAUGUAUUGUCAAUCACCAUAAUAUCUUAUAAGAUUGAGACAAUGUAUCCCUUUGAGUGAUUUUAAGGACUUAUGAUCAAUAAAUUUGUGGUAUUGUAGUAUUUCCUUAACUAAGAUUGUAGUACUAAAUAAACCAAUCUUACUAUAAAAAAUCUUAUCAUGACCUCAUUACAUGCCAUAAAUCGAUGGAUAUCCAUGCAACAACUUCAUGGAAAAAAAAAAAACUUUAAAAUAUUAAGAGUUAAAAUAUAAGACAAAACAACUCAUUGAAUUCAUAUAAUGCCUAAACAAGUUGGUUCAAUCCAGUUAUAUUAAUUUCCUACCCAACCAAAAGCUUGUUGCACAUCAUAAGUCUACAUAUAGUAAAUAACAUUUAAAAAAAAAUGAAAAAUGAAAUCUAUCUAAUAAGUUAACAUUGCAUAGAUAACAUGAUUGAAAACCAUGAAAAGUUCAUGGUUGGUCAUUUAAAUUUCAAAAAGAAAAAAAAGAAAAGAAAAACUACUUAAUUCUAAAUCAAGUCUUUUUUCAACAAGAGAAUGGACAUGUCAUGUUUGGGAUUGAGCCCCUAAAAUCAAGACAUGUUAGACUUCAUUGUCCCCUUGCAAUCCCUUUUAUGCAUUGACAUUGAUUUGAACAUUCAACUCAUAUAUCUUACAUUGUACAUGACUUGAGUGCAUUAGGAAUUACACAGAAGAUACAAGUCAUGGAUUCCUUGUAAGUAAAUAAGUUGUUCAUGGUUAGUUCAUGAAUUUGUGCAAUCCAAUAAAGAUUGUAGUGUACCAUCUUCAAAUUGGAAGGAUAACUUCUCUUGGCCAUCAAGAUGGUUUUCCUAUGGUGAGUGCACCAAUGUAUGUGAUGCACACUAGAUAGAACCUAUUGUGAAUCAUGACGUAAGACUAUUAGUUGUUAUGAUUUACUAAGCUAUUAUAUUGCAUGAACUCUCAACCUUGAAAGGAUAUUAAGCCUAUGCCAAAAUCAACAUGAGUCUUUGACCUACGGGUAAGACCCUAAAGUGGUCAUAUAUCCAUAUGGAUUGGGUCAUUAUUAAUAAAGGUUGGUGGCAAUAGGUAUUCUCAAUAGAGACAUCAUGAUAUCUCAUGGGAUUGAGAUAAUGUGUUCUUUGGUUAUCCGAAGGACAUGUGAUUAUGAAAUCUAUAGUCGUAGUAAUUUCUUUAAUAUAAUUUGACAUAUUCUCCUUGGAAUUAAAAUAUGUUAGUUGAUCAUAUAAUAAGUGGGAUCUGUAACUCAAGAAUUAGAAAUGUAAUCUUAAUAGGUGAUAACACUAUCUUGUUAAAUUACGGAUACCAGUUCAUAGAGAGUCUGCAUGUAGUGGUUAGUAGGUCAUAGACCCGAGCUUUGUCUCGUUGUUACUUACAUAGAGUACUAGGGUGCAAUUGAUUCUUGGUAGUGGGAUGUUGAAUCAGAUUCAAAAUUGGAUUUUGAGAGAGCUAGUACUCUUAUGGAUACUAAUGGUCUCCGCUCUAAGUUCAUAUAUCAUGAUAACAUAGUUUAUGAGGGUUGAAUUCACUCUAGGUUCACUCUUGUACAUAAGUGUGUUUUGGUAAUUACAUAAGGUUGCAUAGGGGAUAGUGAGCGUGAUAUUUGGAUUGGAUUAAUUGAUUAAUUAGAUGACCCUGUGUGGUUAAUUAAUCAAUUUGAACUUGAUUUAAGCUAAAUUAAGUAACCUAAACCCAUAUGGGCUCAAGUCACUUAAGCCUAGUGAGAGAGCCCUAUAAAUACCCCUUGGGGUUAGGGUUAGGGUUAAGGUUUCCAUGGGUUUUAAAUAGUUGUCUUCCACUUCCAAAGGGAGAGAGAGAGAUUCAAAGUUUCCUCCCUUCCAAAGUCCAUUUUUAAAGUGCCAUGGACAUGGUUCGAGUCAUCGGGAGGAAGACUUUGGGUGUAUGAGACCUCUCAAGCAUUAAGACAUAUUCUUUACCACAAGGAAACUAAUUUAGGAACAUCUAGAUCCAAGUAUGAGUUUCAAAUCUCUAGAUCUUUAUUAUUAUAUGGUUUUUGAAGCCAUUAAUUUUUAUUGUGUUAGAUUUACAAAUCCCUAGGCAUAAAUGCAUGCACCCUACCAAAUCCAAGGCAUAGAGCGAGGUAAUCCAAGGUUCUCAAUAGUGGCUUGUAUAUUAUUUUAUAAUUUAUCUAUUUGGGUCACUAUAUAUAUAUUUCAUUAUUGAUGCUUAAGGAGGAAUUAUAUUCUUUCUAUUUGAGAUCAUUGAAGAGGAAGAGAAUAUAUGUUUUUCCCUUAAAAAAUGAUUUUUUUUUUUUUUACUUCAUUACUUUGUAGUUCUUCCAUUUCUGCCCCAAAAUGGUCUUAUUUCAUGACUCGUUUAAUAAUGAUAAAAAUAGAUGUCUUAUGAAAUAAACAAAUUAUAAUAUUUCCAAAAGAAACUUCAUUAUUUAUAUAUCCAUAUUCGAUUAAGUCAUUCAUUAUGAAUCCUUUAUAUGUAUUUAAAGAUACUUUUGUUGUGAUUGAGCCCUAGAAAGAAUGACAUGAUGUAACAUAUUAAGAUUCAUUCAUAAAAUUAUUUAUCUAUUUUCUUAGUUUCUUUUUUAUUAUACCAUAUGCAUUAAUUGGUUAUUUGAAUAUACAUGCCUACAUUACUUGCAUGUACAUGAACUUGGUGCAUUGAGAGUUGCAUAGAAGACCCAAGUCAUGGAUUCCUUAUAGGGUGAUGAUUAGUUCAUAGUCAAUGUUUAGAUUUAGGCAAUCCUUAUAAGACUGUAGUACACUACCUUCCAAUUCGAGGGAUAACUUGUCUUGGUUAUCGGAAUGGUUAUCCCAUGGUAAAUGCACUAAUAAAUGUGAUGCACACUAGAUGAGACCUACGAUGAAUCAUGAUAUAAGGGUAUCAAUUGUCAUGAUUCAUCAAGCUACUAUACUGCAUGGACUCUUAUCUUUGAGAGGGUAUUGAGUCUGUUUCAAAAAUCAAUAUGAGACUUUGAAUUAUAAGUGAAACCUUAACGUGGUUAUAUAUUCCUAUGGAUUGAUCACUGUUAAUGGAGGUUGAUAGCAAAAAAUAUUCUCAAUAAAUACACCAUGAUAUCUCAUGGUAUUGAGAUAGUGUGUCUUCUUGGGUGAUUUAAAGAAUAUGUGAUCUAGAAAACUAUGGUCAUAAUAUCUCACUUAGUGAAAUUUGACAUUUGCUCAUUGAAGUUAGAGUAUGUCAAUUGAUCAUAUAAUAAGGAGGAUAUGUAACUUAAGGAUUUAAGUGGUAACUUGAUAAGUGAUAACAUUACCUUAUUAUAUUAUGAAUACUAGUUCAUAGGGAGUUUGCAUGCAGUAGAUAUUAGGGUACAAACCCAAGCUAUGCUCAUCAUAAUUUUAUAAGAUAUUAGAGUGUUGUUGAUUUUUUUCAGUGGAAUGUUGAAUCAAUUUCAAAAUUGGAUUCUAAGGAAGCUAGUAUUUUCCUAUGGGUCUCAAAUUUGGAUUAUAAGGAAUCAAUUUCUAGUUUUUAAGUUUGCAGAAGGGCAUUUUGGUAAAAACGCAAAGUUGCACUAGAUUUUAUGGAUUAUAUUUCUAGUAUGUGCUAAUUAAUUAUUUGGAACCCAUCAAGGCUAACUAAUUAAUUAUGACUUAGUUGUGCUAGAUAUGGUGACCUAAACCCAAUUUGGGUUCAAGUCACUUAAGCCCACAAAGAGCUUUAUAAAUAACCAUGUUAGGGGGUUAAGGUUUCAAUUUUGCCUAUCAUCUUCCAAAAAAAAGCCUCUAGAGAGAAACCAUAGCCACCCUCUAGAGAGAAGCCAUAGCCACCCUCUAGAGAGAAAAACACACACUUUUCUCAUGUCUAGCUCCAUAGGAGGAGAGAUUAGGUGGGAAACUAGUGGGUAGACGAGAUUUUAAAUGACUUUGGAUUUGAUCUUCACAACAUAGAUUUGAUCUAGGAACAUCCAGAUCAGUGUAUGUUUGAAGCUUGGAUUUUGCUUAGAUUGUUUUCUAGAGAAGCCUAGGGUAGAACAAUAUGUACCUAUAUGAUCCAGGGUCAAGGAAUUAGGUAAUCUAGGAUUCCCAACAACUUAUAUAAGAGUUGUAAGAUAAGUUUUUGUUUGUUAGAUCUACUUUAGGACGUGCUAACUUUGUUUUGCAAGGUUGUUUGUUUCAUCCCAUGGCUUCAAGGAUGAAUGUUUGUGGUUUUUUGUUUUAAUAUGAUGGUUAUACUUGUGAUUUGCUUUUGUUUUCUCUUAUAUUGGGUUGUAAGCUCCAUGUUUAAGACCAUAAUAUUUUUUUUUUACAUUGUAAAAAUCCAGUUUUUAAUUAUUAGAUUAAUUGUGAACUUCAUUUUGAGGAGUAUAUAUAGGAACUUUUGUUAUAAAAGCUCCAAUUUUUAUCAAUCUUGUAACCCAUGGAUUGCAAGAAAGUAGUCCAAGACAUCAUUCAGGCCUAGUGGCUCCCAUUCCAACAAAGGUAAGUUUUUUAGUGGAGAACCAACCCAAAUCCAAAGGAGAAACAACCUUGGAUGCACACAUUUUUGUAAUAGUGCUUGAGCGGCUAGAUUAUUGCUUGAGCACUGGUGUCAAGCACUUGAGUAGUCCUUCGAGCAGUGUAAGUUGCUUCCAACAUCCUCUUUGGAUUUUUGGGCGCUCGAGUGCUCUUGGCAACAAAUAGAGAGUAAGGAAAAUGGCAACGACCGAAAAAGGUUUUUUAGGAUAAUUGUAGUAGUAUAGGGUUUGAUUGUAAUUUGUUUACUAACCCUAUUUGUUGUUGUAGGUAUGGUUUUGAUAAAUUUGAAUGAUUAUCCAAAUAGGUUGCCAAAUUCAUGCAACAAGAUUCCUAAGGCCAUGGGAGUAAUUGAUUUUACUUUAUUAUUUAUUUUUGUGUAUAUUUGAUUUUAGCAUGUGUUAAAUGAAUAAUAAAAUUUUGGAAAAGUAAUUUUGAAUUUUUUAAGAAAAUAAAUUUUCAUCAGAAACAAAUUUCUAUUGUUGAUUUUCUUAAAUUGGUUAUUAUUAAGAUUAUUACUAUUCCUUUUUGAACUUUCCACUUAGUUGUUGAUAGGUGGUUUUUAAUGCUCUCCCACUUUCAGAGAAAGAGAAUGAUAACUAUGAUAGUUGUUGUCCUUUAGGCUCUCCCACCCUGAGAGAAUGAGAAAACCACACAAUCCUUCAAGAUUUUCUCACUAAGAGAGAAGAACUUUUAUGGUUAUGGAUAGCCCAAGGAUAAAGGGAUAAGCAAACAAUUCUAUUAACAAAGGAGUCUCAAUUUAAGAAGUAAAUAACAAAUUUGGAAAAUCUCAUGAUAGAGAAUUUAUUUAAGAAAUAUUACCAAAAUUGCUAAAAGUUUAUUUUUUCAAAAGAUUAAGUAGGAAAGGGCAUCAAUAAAACCCAUAACCUCCAUUGUAGAAGUAGUCUUGAAAGGUUGAUAACUUUCACCUUAUUAGAUAUUAGACACCAAUUCAUAGGGAGACUGUACACAAUGGAUUGGUCACGAAACUAAACACUUAAUGUCUCAUUGUUAUUUAUAUAGGGUAUUGGAAUGUAGUUAAUUAUUUGUAGUGAGAUGUUGAAUUAACUUCAGAAUUAUAUUUUGAGGGAGCUAAUACUAUCCUAUGGGUUCUAAUGGUCCUCGCUCAAGGUCAUAUACCUUGUUGUCAUGGUUUAUGAGGUUUGGAUUGGGUUUUGGUUCACUUUUCUUUUAUGCAUAAGGACGCUUUGACAAUUACACAAGGUUCCAUAGGGGUUAAUGAACAAAGUCUUUGGAUUGAGCUAAUUGAUUAAUUAGAUUAUCCUAUGGGGUUAGUUAAUCAAUUAAAACCUAUUUUGGACUAGAUUAAGUGAUCUAAACUUUUGGUGAGCCCAAGUCACUUAAGCUCAGUUAGAGAACUUUAUAAAUACCCCUUUAGUGGUUAAGGUUUUUAAGUUAGUCAUCUUCUACCAUCCAAAGAAACAAAAGAGAGUCAUAGUCUCUUCCCUUCCAAAGACCCACUUUUGGUAUGUUAAGAUCAAGGUAGAGUUAUUAGGCAGAAGAUCUUAGGUAUAUGAGACUUUCGAAUACUUUAGACUUCAUCUUCUCUAAAUGGAAUAGAUUUGGGAACAUCCAAAUAUGUGAUAUUGUAUUUUAUAACACUUGAUCUAAAUCUUUGUUUAAAAAUAAGUUUGUUUUUGUUGUGGAUAUAAUUUAAAGAAAGUCCUAAGAGAUUCACAUGUAUCUAACUUGACUCGGUGUGGGGAAUGGAGAGAUUUGAGAUUCCCUACAAUGCCUAUAUCAUAUUAAUCUAAACAUAAUCCAAAGACAGGUUAAGUCUAGAAUUUUACCAUACUUGAUUCUAGGGGAUCUUCUAGUCUAUGAAUCCUAUAUAGAAGGUAAGAUGACAAAGAGACUCUUUACUACUAAAGGAUAUAGAGCUAAGGAGUAUUUAGAGUUAGUGCACAUUGACAUAUAUGUUUUAAAAAAAUUUGAAAGUGAUGAAAAUAAUUUUAAAAUGGAUACAAUUUUGUUUACUUUUAAUGAAGUGUAUAUCUAAAAAUUAUUUAUAUUUAAAAUUUCAAGUUAAUUGAAGAAGACACACAAUUAAAAAAAAAAAAACUUCCAAAUAAUUUUUAUUUUUAUUUUUUUUACUUGUCCGAUAAAACUGUUUUAAUUAACUUAACUAAAUAUAUUUUCCUAUUUUUGAGAACAAAAAAUUGUUUUUCAUAAUUUAGAGUCUAUUUGGAUGGUAUUUUCCAAAAUUGUUUUCUAUUCUUGAGGGGGAAAAAAAACAUUAAAACAUUUGAUAACUUUGUUCCAAAAGCACGAAUAAGAAUCUUUUGAUCAAUGUGGUCACCUAACAAUUAACAAAUUUACAUUAUGAUAUCAUUUCUAGGUUUUAUGAGGUUGUCAUGUCUAACACCAUGCAUGUUUGUAUGAAUUCAUACCGCAUUGUUCAUGUCUUCAUGCAACAUCAUAUCCAUAUGCAAAAUCUGGUAUCUAUAUACCAUAUAUAAUUAUUUGAAAGUAAAGCUGAUUCAAGAUAGGUUGGUAAUGAAGAAUUAAGUAGAAGUUAAUGGAUCAAUCCUCCAUUGGUGCUACUUGUAAAAAGUCUCUACAAGUCAUUAAUUUUGAUAACUUACUGAUAUUGUUGCUACUUCAUCUAAAUGUGUUUCCCUUUUUCAACCUCUAAAAAAUUAUUUAUUUUAAUAUAUCAUAUUAAAAUAUGAUCUUGGUGUGAUAAUUGUUAUAAUAUUUAUUUAUAUUAAAAAAAUUAUAAGUGAUGCAGAUAAUUUUUAAAAUGGAAUAUAUUUUUUAAUUUAAAUGAAGUGUGAAUCUAAAAAUUAUUAUAUAUUUACAAUAUCAAGUUAAUUGAAGAAAACAUUCAAUUAAAAAAAAAAACAAACAACUUCCUAACAUAUUUUUUAGAGCAAAAAUUGUUUUUCAAAAUUUAGUUACUAAAUGCAAUUUUAUUUCUAAAAACAUAUAAAUUGUUCUUAAAAACUAUUUUCUAGAAUAGUUUUAAAAAACAUCUACCAAAUAGACCCUUAGUUUCUAAAUAUAAUUUUGUUUAUGAAAACAUUUAAAUCUAUUCUUAAAAACUUUAUUAGAACUAUUUCUUGAAAUAAUUUCCAAGCAUAGUCUAAGGGUAUUUUUGGGAAUAUUUUAAUGAAGUUUUCUAUAACAAAAGUUUGUUUGGAAACUCGAAAUAUUUUCAACAUAUUUUAUGUUUUUUUUUAAAAAAAAUAACUUUUAUCCAUAAUACUUUAUUUUUCAUCAUUUUUUAUAUUUAUAUAAUUAUUUUUUAAAAUAGCUCUUUAGAAACAAGUGAAAAUGUCUUAAAACAAGUAAAAUGCAUUUUUAAAAAACUAGAUAUUUUUUAAAAACAUUCUUCAAAAUCUGUUGUGAGAAUAAUUGAUAACCAAAUGUGUUUUUAUAUUUUCUUUGCUUUAAAAAACACAAAACCGCUUUUAAGAAUAGUUUUGAAAUAUAACAUAAAGGUUAUUAGGGUAACCAACAAGAAUUUCUUAAAACUUAAUUCCUAUCCAUGAACAUGAAAAGUGAUUUAAGCCCUCUUUUAUAAAGUUUUUUAAAUGCUAUAACAACAAUUUUUAAGGAUAUUUGGUCAAACUCUAUCACAUUUAUUUAUUUAUUUAGUUAUGUCAACUUAGGAAUGGUAAUGGGGUGAAUUGUUAUGGGUGCAAUAAUUUGUAUCUUACAAAACUAAAUUAUAAAAAUUUAUUAUAUUUAUUUAUUUAUAAAUUAUAUUUAUUUUAAUAUAAUUAAAAAUCUAUGUUGAUGAGAAUUGAUUUAAAGUAAGCAAAGUGGUGUCGUGCCUAAUUUGUUCUAUUGUGAUUCCUAUAUCUGUUUUCCCUUUAAUAGAAAAAUAGGAAGUAAAAGAAAGGAAAAUCGUGAGCGAAACCUAAACCUUAAGAGUCAAAAUAUGGUAUUGAUAUGAUUGAUAAAAUUAUUUUUAAAAUUUUAAAAAUCAGAAUUCUAGUAAUAGUUUAUAUUGACUUGUUUUUAAUAAAUUAAUUUGACAAAAAAACUAAAAUAAGUAUUUUAUAAUUUUGGAAUCUUUUAAUGGGCUUCAUUUUGAGGGUGGGAAAGAAAUUCGAAAACAUUGGGCCCCGAUGGUGCUAGGCCCAUCAAGCCCAAAAAAGAUCCGGGCCCAUGUCUUAUUGGUCAUGGACUCAUGGUCACAAUCACAGUCCCUCUCAUCCUUGUUGGACUAGGAGGUGUCAUUGCUCAUUCAGGUUUUCUCUCUUUCUUCCUGGAUGCCGCGAAUCGAGACGGAAUCCAAAUUCCAAACAUGAAAACGUAGGAAUCCAAUUCCUAAGGAUCAUAAACAGCUAUGGCAAAUCAUUCCUCAUCAUACCCAAUCCUCUGCGCUUCCUUCAAUCAAGAUACAAGGUACUACUACCCUUUCUCUUAUUUCUUCUUCAUUUUUAUUUUUUUCUUUUCCCUAUUUUUUUUAGGCUUUUUGGGAAUCUUUUCUAUUGAAACAAACAGAGAAUUUUGGUAUUUUUGAAUUUCAGUUACUUUGCGAUUGGCACGAGGGAUGGAUUCAAAGUGUUCGAUUCCGAAACAGGGACUCUACGUUAUGAGCGAGGCAAGUUUUUCAAUACUAGUUCAUAUUCCUUGUUUUUAUUUGUUUAUUUAAUUUACAUUUGUUUUUUAAGUUUUGUUGAAUCGAAUUUUAGCGUUCAGUUAGUUUUUGUGAAUCGGAAACGGAUGAAUUUCUGUGCUAAUUUGAGUUACGUUUUGAUUGAAUAUUACUUUUGAAGUUCAAAAGCUGUUUAUUGAAGAUAUUGGAACAGGAAUUUUGUAGAAAAUUGCAUGUAUAUGGUAACAGCCUCCCGCUCACGGUGACAAAAUGAUAAAUGUCAAAUUUAUCUUUGAUUUUUCAUAAAACAAAUGGAGCCUGAAUGUAUCCGGUUUAUUCAAUAAUUCUUUAAUAUCUGGAAAUUCCCAACUUUCCGGGUGCGAUAAAAAAUAUUUCCCUUUUUUCUUGAAAUAUCAUUUACUUUUCUUGGCUUUAAUUUCAUUUUGGAUUUUUGUCUGGACUUCUCCAAUAUUUUCCUGGACAACUCCCAAUUUUGAAUAUAUUUGAGUUUGAAUAUAUCUGAGGCUGAAUGCUAUUUCCAAAUGCCAUUUUUGUGACUGUGCUUCCCACUGAUCAGUGCUAAGGAGUUAAAUAGAUGAUUUUUGUUAAACUACAAGGGAUAGGAGAAGAGAAUUGCUAUAUACUGCACCCCUAUGAUAACCCAAACACUCAAAUUACAAUGAUGCCCUCACAUAAUCUUUAACACUCCCCCUUAAGCUGGAGGUUGGAGCAUAGGAAAUUUUAAUGCUUAUCUUGGAACCAAAUGAUAGAAACAGAUUUUUUGAAAUGCCCUUAGUAAAUAGGUCUCCAAGUUGGUCUUUUGAUCUAAAAUAUUGAAGUGGAUUGUUUCUCAUCACAACUCCUUGAAUGAUAUGGCAAUCCAUUUCAAUAUGUUUAUUUGCUCACAAAACCUAGGACUACUUGCAAUAUAUGUAGAUGCUUGACCAUCAAACAGCAUAAUCAUAGGGUUUUAGUUUCAAGACCUAGUUAUUUCAUAACACUUUGUAUUCACAUGAGCUAUAGCACAAUGCUGGGCCUCAACACUAGAUCUGGUCAUAGCAUUUUGCUUCUUACUUUUCUAGGUUACCAAAUUACCUCACAAAAAAGUGUAAUAUGCACUAACAGAUUGCCUGUCAGGUUCAGAAUCGACCUAAUGAGCAUCUGAAGAAUUGAAAAUAUCAAGUUCGGUAUGCUUCUUAUACAAAAUAUCCACUCCAACUGUUCCUUUUAGGUAUGUGAGAAAAUGGCAAACUGCAUCCCAGUGCACUUGUUUAGGACUUUUCAUAUAUUGUCAAACAACACUCACAAUAAAGGUAAUAUCAGGACAUGUCAUAGUUAAAUAUAUGAGUUUUCCAACAAGACUUCUAUACCUUCUUGUAUCAGAAAAAUCUACAUCAUCUACUCCUUUCAAUUGUACAUUAGGAUCCAUGGGUGUAUUUACAGGUUUGGAUCCUAACAAACUAGCCUUAGUAAAUUUUGCAUUGAUAUUCUUGCUAAGAGCACCUCUAUACCCAACAAAUAUCUAAGCAACCCCACGUCUUUAGUUUGAAAAUUAAUUUUCAACUAUGUUUUCACCUUUUCAACUCCACACAAAUCACCUUCAAAUACAAGGAUAUCAACAUACAAAAUUAAAAUCACCAUACCUAAUCAUGUAUUCUUCACAAAGACUGAAUGAUCUAAGUGGCGACUAGAAAAACCAAGAGAGGUUAGUAAUCCACUAAGCUUAUCAAAGCAUUCUUGAGGGGUUUGUUUGAUCUCAUAUAUGGCUUUUUUAAAAUACACACCUUUCUUGACUCCCUCUGAGCAACAAACUUAGACUUCUUUUGGAAAAUACUAUAUGGAAAGUGCAUUUUUGACACCAAGAAGAUAUAAAGGCCAAUCAAAGUAACCAACAUCAUAUGUCUACAAAGAAGGAAGUCGAAAUUGGCUUUUAUAUCAACUUGGUGUCAAAAAUGCACCAACCUUUAUAUCAACCUUUUGUUUGCUGAUGAUACCCUCCUUUUUUGUGAGGAUAAUGUAGAGUAGCUGAAUUUUUGGAAAUGGAUUAUCAUGUGUUUUGAAUUGGUGUCAGGCUUGAAAAUAAAUCUGCAAAAAAGUGAAGUUAUUCCAGUAGGGGAGACAGUGGAUGUGAAUAGAGCAACUUCUCUUUUUGGGUGCAAAGUAGGAAAGCUUUCCACGUCUUAUCUAGGAUUACCCCUUGGGGCCCCUAAUAGGCAUUGUGGUGUUUGGGACUCUAUUGAGGAGAGGUUUAAAAGGAAAUUAACUGUUUGGAAAAAACACUACCUUUCCAAAGGAGGAAGACUUGUCCUUUUAAAGAACACUCUUUCAAAUCUCCCUAUUUAUUUUAUGUCCCUUUUUAUUAUUCCUAGAAAAGUGAGAAUUAUAUUAAAGAGAAUUCAAAGAGACUUUUUGUGGGGAGAUUUGGGAGAUAGGAGCAAGAUCUAUGGUAAAAUGGUCAGAUGUUUGUAAGGCUAAAAAUUUUGGAGGCUUGGGGAUAAGAAGAUUGCAUAGCCUCAAUCAAGCUUUGCUAGGCAAAUGGCUAUGGAGAUUCUCUAUUGAGCAUGAUAGUUUGUGGAGGAAGAUCAUUUGUGGAAAGUUCGGGGAGGUGGAGGGGAGUUGGACUACUGAGUGUGGAAGGAGUUAUUUGGGAUGAGCCUUUGGAAAGACAUUAGAAAAGGGUGGGAAGAGUUUAUUGCUAGAACUUCUAUCCAUAUAGGAAAUGGUAGUCGUACAGGCUUUUGGUGGGACAUGUGGGCGGGGGACUUCAAGCUAAAAGAUUUUUACCCUACUAUUUUUGGGAUAGCUUCCCAUAAAAAUGCUACAGUUGUAGAAUCUUGCAAAAGAGAAGGGGAUGAAGGGGGGUGUUGGGAGGUUCAUUUUAGAAGACCUUUCCAAGAUUGGGAGGUGGAGGAGGUGACCCGCUUUUUGGGUUCUCUUAACCUGUUAAAAGUGCAAGAAGGUGAGGACACUUUAUGUUGGAAAGAAGAUAGGAGAGGACUUUUCCGUGUCAAGUCUUAUUAUUGUUCUCUAAGUGGGGAGAAUAAUUUCGUUUUUUCGGGGAAGGAGGUUUGGGGAUCCCGUGCUCCUCUUAGAACUUGCUUUUUUGCUUGGGAAGCUGUUUGGGGGAAGAUCCUAACUAUAGACACCUUAAUGAAGAGGGGAUGACAAAUGGUCAAUAGAUGUAAUCUAUGUAAAGAGAGUGAAGAAUCAGUUGAUCACAUCCUAAUUCAUUGCGUUAAGACAAGAGAGCUUUGGACCUUUUUAUUAACCCUCUUUAGAGUGACUUGGGUAUUUCUAGAUUCAGGAAGAAAUCUCCUUCUUCAAUGGAAAGUUAAGGGGUUGCAAAAGAAGAUUAGAGCAAUGUGGCACUUGGCUCCCAUUUGUUUGUUUUGGUGUAUUUGGAAAGAGCGUAAUCGAAGAACCUUCAAAGAUGAAGAUCUUUCCGACCAGGGUUUAAAGGAUCUCUUCUUUUGGACUCUUUUUGAGUGGACUAGGGAUUCUUUGGAGCUGGAUUUUCCCUUUAUGUUGAUUUUCCUUGAUACUCUUUUUUGUGGUUAACUUUGCUUUGUUUUGUUUGUUGUCUUUCUUUGGUUGAGGUGUGUUUGACUUGUUUCUAUGUAUACAACCUGUAUAUGUAGGGCGUGCCCCCUCCUUUUUUGGCGCUUAUUAAUGAAUGCUCUUGUUGUCCAUCAAAAAAAAAAAAAAAAAAUCAUGUCUACAUAUAUCCCUUGGAAACUAGUCGCUUUUUCAACCUCUUAAUAGUAUCAUUUGGAUGGUAUUUGAAAAUAAAGACCCACUUCUAACCAACAAUUUCUAUUUUUCAUGGUAAAGUAGUUAAACCCCAUGCGUCACGGUUCUAUAAUACUUUCAUGUCUUCUUCCAUGGCUACUUUCUAGCCAAGAUGAGAGAGCUUCCUGGUAAGUCUUAGGAAUAGCAAUAGUAGACAAAGAAGUAAAGAUUGAAAAGGAAAAGAAAAAUGAGCAAAAUUAGGGUAUUUAGAUUGUGGAUAUUGACUAGUAGUUCUCUUACCUUUUUGAAGAGUAAUGAGGAAAUGAAGAUAAGAUGAAAUCAAAGAAUCAAUAAUAGGAGAUGAACCUCCUAUCAAUUGUCGACAAUUGAAUGGUGGUGGAAUGUACGUCUCAAGGAGCAAUCUCAGUCAUGAUCAUUUUCUUUCUCACAUAGACUAUUAAAGGUUUCUUAGACACAUGAAUAUUGGGAGCUGAUGAUGCAAUUGGUUUAGACACAGGAAUAAUGAGAAGAAGAUCAUUAGUUAAAGAGAAGAGUUGUGUACUAAGAGUUUCAAAAGAAAAAAAGGGGUAGAUUGAAACUUUGCACUAAUUAAGUACCUAUUGAAAGUGGGAUUAAAACGUUUCUAACCUUUUUGAGUUUUGAAAUAUCCAAGGAAGACAUACUUUGUGGACCGAGGUAAAAAUUUAUUUGAACUUGUGGUCGCUUAAUGCAUAAAGCAAACACAUUCAAAUAUGCAUGGAGGAAUAGAAAGCAAUGGAAUAUUCAGAUAUAAAAUAAAAAUUAAUUACCAAGAAUAUUGGAUGAGAGAUGGUUAUUGAGAAAACAAGUAGAAAGGACAACAUCACCCCCAAAACUUUUUCGAAACUUGCAUAUGAAAAGGAUGUGAAUGAGCAAUUUCCAAAAGGUAUUUUUUUUUCUCUCUUCUACUUCAUUUUGUUCGGGAGUGUAAGAGCAAGAUGUCUGAUGAAUAAGUCUAUUAUUCUCACAAAAAUUAGUAAUAGAAAAUGUGAGAAUUCUAAAGUAUUAUUUGAACCAAAUGUUUUAAUGGGCACACUAAAUUAUGUUUUUCUUUCUUUAAAAAUGGACUAAAAUACAUAAGCAACUUCUUAUUUGUCUUUUAACAAAUAUAACAAGUGACUCUAGAAUAAUCUAACCAAAUUUAAGAAAUACUUAAAUCCUAAAACAUUAGAAACAUUGGGAAUUUCCAUCAGAGGCAAGACCUUUUGGCAAAUUGCUUGCUUCACUAUACUUUGGAUUGUGUGGCAAGAGAGAAAUGCUAGGAUCUUUGAGGAAAAGUGGAGAUCGGAAGAGAUGUUGUGGGAUUUACUUCACUUUUAUUCCUCUUUAUGGGCCUCUUGUACUAUUACUUUUAGAGGAGUUCCACUUAAUGUUAUUCAACUUGGUUGGCUUUAUGUUUGUAAUAUGAAGGGGUGGAUAACAUUGAGAGGAGUUGAGUUUAGUCUUGAGGAGUUUUGCGUAUGUCUAUAGUUUUCCUUGUAUGGUGAAGGUGUUUAGUCUUACUUGGAUCAAUAUAUCUUUUGUUUUUUUAUAUAAAAAAAAAAAUAGAAACAAAACAUGGAACCCAAAUGUUUGAAUGAGCAAGAUGAAAAGGAUUGGAACUCCCGUUAUUGACCCUAGCACCAAGAGCGGACCAAUGAUGUUUGCCUAACUCAUAGGCUUGACACUCUAACUUGGACUCUAAUAUAACUGGAAGUUCCAUAAAUCAAAGAAUGUGAAGUGGAGGGUGAGAUAGUUUCAUUGCAUGGAGGAAACAAAAGUAUGUAUAGCAAUUGGAACAAGAGGUGGGCCAACAAGGUAAUAAAUUCCAAUAACUUCAUACCUUCCACCAAUCAUCUUCUUCAUUGAGAGAUUUUGAAAUACAAAAUGGAGAGGGAAGAAUGUUACAAAAAAAUUAAGAGACUAGUUAGUUUGUUUAUGGAUAAAAGAUUCACCAGAAAAUUAGGAACAAGUAGUAGAUAAUUGGAUUCAUUCAAUUUUAUGUAGUAAUUUGGAUAUCAAUAUUGUUUUAGGUUUAAUUCCUAGCAAUGGGACUACCGUUAGAAUCUAUUUAAAUAAAUUGUAGAUUGGAAUAACUUGAAUAGCAAAAUAAGCAAAGGGCAAUGUCCAAUGGAAAUUAGGUUUGCAACUAAGACAUAGGGUUUGGAACUUGCUUUGAUACUGUCUUCAAGAACAAGGAAUAAGAGAAGAGAAUGUGUUUCUGAAGUACCAAAUAUUAUAUAUUGUACCCCCAUAAUAACCCUAAUACUCAAAUUAUAAUAAUACUUUCACAGAUAAUCUUAAACAGUUUUGAAACAAUCUUGGUUAUAUGUUAACAUAUAGGUAUUUCCAAAGAAUUGAUAAUAAUAAAAAAAGUAAAUUUCCUAUCUCCAUAUUUAUUACCCUAACCAAUUUUUUCUUAACCCUUAAAAGAGAAUUUUUCCUAUGCAAAUACCUAGGCUUACGGUCUUUAUUGCAAUUAUGAAUCAACAACCUUUUUCUUAAAGAUGAUAUUUAAGCUAUCUACCCUAGGUUAUGCAUUUUUUUUUUUGAUAGGAUACCCUAGGUUAUGCAUGCUAUGUUGGUCAUAUAAAAGAAUAAAAUAAAAAGUGAUUCUAGAGUAGAUGUGCACCCUUAGAAGUCAUUCUCUUUUUAGUUGCAUCUAAGAUUUUUAGGUUUAUACUAAUCCAACCUAAGGUGAACAUCCAAGAAAGGGGUGAAUUAGGUAUUGGCCAAUUUUAACUGAUUUUUUAGCUUAAUGAGUGCAAAUGAAAAAUAUAUGCAAUUAUGAACAAUAAUAUAGACAAUGGAAUAUAAAGAAAUAAGGGAUAGAGAGAUGCAAAUGCAGUAUUUUCCAUUGGUUUGGUGCAAUGCAACUUACAUCCGCUCUCCUCUUGGUUCAAUCCCAAGCCUAAAGGUUGCACUAUGUUUAAGGCAUCAAACCAAACCUUAUAGCUUUGUCUACUUGGAUUCUCGGUUUUGAGGGGCUUUCAACAAGCUUCAAAAGAUACCUCACUUUUAAACUCCCUAAGUGAUACCAUACACUUGGCAAACUCUUAAGUGAUGCCUCACAUUUGAAUUUUUUCCUCAAAUGAUACCUCACACUCGAGCUCAUCCUCACAAGGUUACAAGAUUGAGUUUACAAUACUAAGAACUCCUAGAUUACGAUUUUACUUAAUGGACACAAUACAAACUAGGAUUGAUAAGGUGCACUAAGAAUGAAAUGCAAAUUUAGGCUUUUUGUACUCAAAAUUCUUGUCUAAUGCUCAAAGGAUAAUUGAACAACAAUUUGGAACCCUUCUCCAUCUAAUAAAUGAAGUACAGAUCCUUUAUAUAGGAGUUAGAAGGUCAAACUAUCCAUUAGACAUAGUUAGGCUCUAUCAUAACCUUCGAUUGAAUUGGCUCACUAGCCAUUGAUUGGCAGAAGGUAUAACAGGUGACCAUUAGGUCACUGAGCUGGACUGAUUGAGUGAACAAUUUGAUCGAUUGAGUAAAUGGUUUGAUCAGUUGAAUUGGUUGAAUGUUGAACUGGUUGAGUGAAUAGUUCAACCGGUUAAGCUUUCAACUCAAUCGAUGGCCAUUACUAUAGGAUUUUGGCAAACCACCUUGACCAAUUGACCUGGUGGUCAACUGGUUCUUGCUUUGUUUUUGAUAUCUUAAUAAAUAUACAAGAUUUAGCUCAAAAACAUGGGGAACAAACCGGCUAUGAACUGCUUACUAUUUUGAAAAACCUUUAUAAAGCUACUCUUGAACAAUUUAAGUUUAGGUUUUUCUUCAAAACUAUUUUCAUCCAAUUUAUGAAAAUAGAAAAACGGUUUAGGCAUUUGGAUAAAUCAAGCCCCGUUAAUAAAAAUAUGAAAUGCAAUCAUAAAUUAGUGGAUUUACAAUCUUACAUUUAUUAAGGUCCUGAAGAUUUAUCUUGAAAUGAACCUUCUCCUUCUUCUUCUUGCUUUCCUUCUUAGCUUGAUAUAUCUUCUUCUUGAUGUCUCCAAGGAAAUCCUCUUGCCUAUCACACUUAAAUGUAAAUGUUAAAUCCAAAUCUUGUUUUGUUAUGAUCAAAACAUGAAAUUAACCAAACCUUGGUCUAACAAAGAUCACCUUAAGAUUUGCAAAUGUUUGAUGUUGAAGGGUAUACUACAACAAUUUAGCCUGUGCAUUUUUCCUUUAACAUUAGUGGAAGGAGUAGCUAUUUCUCACUUGCCUCAAAAGAAUUUCAUGAUCAACAAUGAAGUUUUAAUAUCUUAUGUUGAUUCCAAUAUAACCUAGUGAGAUGUCAAGAGCAUGAUCCACACAAACAAUGAACCACAUUCCUAUUGUUGUAUCUAAAAUUCACAAAUCGUUUGCUUACAUCAUCUAUAUAUUUUAAUCUGCUUGGCUUGUAUAUCAUGUAUGUUUAUGAAAACUUUGCAAAUGCUUUCCAUCUUUUGCCCUCUGUCAUUGGGUUCUUUGAUAUUCAAAAGCACUUGCUUCUUGAUUAUGUGCAUUAUUAUUCAUGGGGAAGAUAUAUCCACUAUAAGGAAAGUUCCCAAAUGUUUGUUUGUUUUUUAGUUGUGUGUGUGUAUGGAUAGAGAAAUAAAUGUAUUAGAAAGCACCAAACAAGGGGCUGUAACCAAAGUACACGAGCUAUACAGGAGACAUUCGAUCAAAAGAGUAAGUUGCAACUGCCGGCAAGCAGGGAGGCCCAUGACUGAUCCUAACCUGUAAAUAAAUACUUAAAGAGAUAAACCUUUCUUCUAAAGAGUCCUCAGACCAAAAAAAGUGAAAUUUGAAAAAAAAAUUAUUUUCAGAUUCUUUUGUUCUUCUGUGACACUAUUAUAAACUUGAUAAUGCCAUUCUCCACACCAUAAACUCCUCUUGUAUGUGGAACUUCCCUACCACCUAGUUAAGAUCUUCUUUACUGACUUUCUCUAUGUAAGUUUAAGAAAAUAAUGGAUUUGUAAUGAUCACCACAUAAUGAUGUUACUAUUUUUUGUUUUAUAACAAUAAAAUCUUACAUGAUGCAUGCAUUAAAAUUAAGGAUCUUUUGAAGCAUUAAAAGUUGUAUAGUGAGAACGUUUAAUCAACUAUAUAAAUAUUCCAUAUGUAUAGCUGGGUCUUGCAAAUAUCCUUUUGAUAAGAUGUUAGAGACUCAACUUGAAAUCAAGAAUGGAACAAAAGAGAUGGAAAUGUCUUUUAGUGUUUUAGUUUCUUGUUCAUGGUGUGAAUUAAUCUGAAAAGUCCAUUCUGGGGGCUCUUAAUUCAUUGGUCAUUGAGUUCUGAAUUUAUGAGCAAGCAAUCUCAGUGCCAAGGCUGAGAGUGCUGUUCAUGGGUUAAUUUUGAGGGUUAAUCGAUAUUCCUAAUCAUACUAUGUCAUAAAAAGGUCCAGGAUUGAUAAAUUAAUGGCUUUCUGCUUUUCAGGUAUUAAAAGUUACAAAAUGGACCGUUAAUAAUGUGUUCAUUUCUUAAAAAAUUGCAACAUUUUUGUAGUACAACAUUCCUUGCAAGAAAGACAACUAAAUCUUGGAACAAGAUAUCAUUCUGGAUGCUGAAAUAGUUUCAAACUUCAAACUACAUAUAGGAUUUGCAUCUCUUACUGUAGAAAUCCGUGUUAGUAAUGUGGAUCUUGCAGGAGAAAUACAACAUUCUAAUGUAAUAAUCUUGUUUGGUUCUAUCAUCAUGCUGAAGCUGGAACUAGAAGUAGAAUUCUUAUUAAAAAAAAAGAUUGUAGUAAGACAUCCUAAUUUUAACAUACAGUCACGGGCUUGUCUAAUUUUGGAAAAAUUAAACUAUACAUUUCUUUUCAUAGGCAAACAAGAUUAUACAUUGAAAGGGCCUAACAAAAAAUGAGGCACAAUCCUAGUACACUUGGAGUAUAGAAAGAGCACAAAAGCAAGCAAAAAAGCAAUAGAAAACACAGAAAAAAAAACCUAUAUAGCUUAAUCUUGACCCAAGCCUCAAUGAAAUCCAUCAAGGAAAGGUCAACUCCCCAAAGGAUCUUUUAGUCCAUUCAAAAAGACAUUUUCAGGAAAAAGACUUUCAACACUUGAUCUGGAUGUUUGUGCUCCUUUCAUAUACACCAAAACAAGCAAAGGGGGCCAAGUUCCACAUUCUUUGUUAUCUUUUCUGCAUUCAUGUUCUUUUCCAGCCUAAGAGAAGCAAUCUGACAGAUUUUGCAAAUACCUACUGCAAGCCAAAUAUAGCUAGAACUAGGGAUUUGAUGCAUUGGAUAAGAGUAUGAAAUUCUAACUCCUUGACCCUACACAGACAACCUAUUAGCCAACAUCCAGCUCCUCUUCAUAAGCUGAUCAACUGCCAAAAUAUUUUCCCGAACAGUUUCCCAUGGAAACAGCCAUGAAUGGGCCCUGUAAUUCCAGAUUUGCUUGAUUGGAAAGUCCUGGGAGAUUUCAGAAGUUAAGGAAUAAUAUAGUAAGACUUGACAGAAAGACUCCCAUUAUUCACCCCAGUCUGGCGCAAUCUCUCCUCUCCUAAACCACGGACACACAUUGUGUGAAUGUGCCAAAAAGUUCUUCUCGCUUCCCCACUCUCCCAAUCAUGAUAGCCCCAAUGAAAGCAAGUGUUUCAACCUCUCCAACCCCCUCCACUCAAAGAUCCCCUACUUUAGCAUUUCUUUUAGAAUGCAUUCUGAACAAGGAAGUUAAAGUGAUCUUUGAACACAGAAUCACCAGUCCAUCUAACUAGACUUGGUUUUUGCCCCAUUCACAAUAGAGAUGCUAGUCAUGUGCCAAAACUCAUUCCACUCAUGUCUAAUAGCCUCCCAAAGACGCACUCCAAAAGCCUCUCCUAACUUGUUGGAUCUCCAACCACCCUCAAUCUCAUCAAAUUUGCCAUCAAUAACCUGUUUCCAAAGGAAAUGGUGCUUCCCAACCCCCAUUACGAUUUCCUAAGAAGAGCCUUGUUAAGGGUUGCUAGCCUUAUUACAUCAUGACCACCAUUAUUCUUUUCCUCAAUUUAUGAGUUCCUAUAAUAAUGAAAGAAACAGUGUGCUAUGGUUCAAUAAUGUUGCAGUCAUCCAUCUAGUAUUUUGUACUGCUAUCCUAUCAUUUUGUGUUGGGUUUGCUCCAAAAAAGGGUAUGUUUUAUGGGUUAGGCAUGCACCUUGUGAAAUGAUUAAUUAGCCUUUUUCCUUUUAUAAGGGUGGAUUUUGUUGUUGUUGUUUUCUGAAAGAAUUUGAGUUUGAAUGUUACAUUCACAUGCCCCAAUUUGGGGAGAAUAAACUUUAACAAUUGUAGAUUGGAUUCAUCCUAAUUUUAUCUGUUUUCCCUUGCUAGCUAUUGGAGGUUUCAUCAUUGUUGAGAUGCUGUUUAGCUCUAGUCUUCUUGCCAUUGUUGGAGCUGGUGAGCAGGUGCUUGGUGGUCUACUGAUUUGUUGUGCUAGAUGGUGUAGCCCUUUUAUUAAAAGUACAUUUUCCUACUAACUUCUCUUAGUUUCUGAUUGAUCAUUUACCAUGGUUCCAUCUGACUCCACAGCCAUCUUUAUCCCCACGCCGUCUCUGUUUGUUCAACACUACAACUGGAGCUGCCCUCCGAGAACUAAAUUUUUUAACUUCUGUCCUUGCCAUUCGUCUAAAUAGGAAAAGGUAAAAAAUACUUAUCAUAUCUUGCUUGUUUUACUAUUUGUUUUCCCCAGAACAAUUGCUAUUUUAUGAAUUCAAGGCAAUACUUCAGUGGUGUUUGUUUUUUUUGAUUUAAUUCUAAAUAGAAUUUAAGAUUAAAUAAUGUUUAAUAGUGUUAAGUAUUAAGUUGUUUGUUUUUUUUUUAAUAAUUUAUUUUUAUUAAGUAUUAAGAAGUAAAGAAAAAUCAGCUUGUUACUUUUACCAUUAAAGAACAAGUCAAAUAUUUUAAUUUUUUUCUAUUUAGUAAAAAAAUUUAAGAAAUAAGUAAUAAGUUAAUAAAAAGUAAAAAAAAAAAAAAACAUCUAAAAUUUGAAAGCAACUUGCUUUUAACAAAAAGUUAAAAAAACAAACAACAUCUUAGCUUUUUUGAUAUACAAAGACUUCAAUUUCACCCAAAAAUAGCCAUCUUGACAUGGGUGGAGCUGUGGGUGUGAGAUCUGUGUUUGACAUGCUUAGAUUGCAUUGUAUACAACUUUAAUUUUUUUUUAAUAUAAAUUUAUUUACUUGUUUUAAAUAACACCAAUAAGUUAUUUGACUCUUAUCUCUAUUUUAACUUCUUUUUAAAUUAUAAUAGAUAAUAACAAUUAUCUAUUAUCUCAUAAAAAGAAAUUAUAAUAGAUAAUAACUGUUGGAAAACCGAAACUGAUAUGGAAAGAAAUAACUUUGUAAAGCUGUAAAUUAUUUAUUAGUUGUCAAUCUUUGUAUUUUUAGGAAAGUAAUUGUUAGGAGUUAUUCUUUCCUUUUAAUCAGUGAUUUAGUUUCCUAAUUUGAAGGAUUUGUAUAUGCUGUAAACUCUAUAAAAGAAUAAUCUCAAUGAAAGAAAAUUAUUCUUGUGAAACCCUAUUCUUCAACUUGGUAUCAGAGUUAGCAAUUUGCUUGCCGAAAUCCUCCUUCUUCCUCUCUUUCAAUCCCUGUUAUCUGAAACCAUGUCGGAUAUUUCAAAAGAGUCCACUACUGUUCCUCAACCUUCUCUGAACAGUCCCAUCAUCACUGAUUCUUCAAAAAUCAGUCCUACCACCUCGGAAUCUCACUCUGUCCAAAUCACCACGAUUCGCUUGAAUGGUGACAACUUUCUGAAAUGGUCUCAAUCAGUUCGGAUGUACAUCAGAGGAUGUGAAAAGAUGGGCUACUUGACGGGUGAAAGGAAGGCUCCUGCAGUGGAUGAUCCGAACUAUGCUAUAUGGGAUGCUGAGAAUUCCAUGGUGAUGACAUGACUUGUGAAUUCUAUGGAAGAAGACAUUAGCUCUAAUUACAUGUGCUAUCCAACAACACAAGAGCUUUAGGAGAAUGUAAAUCAGAUGUAUUCUGAUUUAGGGAAUCAAUCACAUAUUAACCCUCAAACUUGGUGAGAUACGACAAGGGGAGGACAACGUCACAAAGUACUUUAACUCCUUGAAGCGGAUCUGGUAAGACCUUGACCUCUUCAACACCUAUGAGUGGAAAUUCGCUGAGGAUGGACUUCAUCAUAAGAAGACCAUGGAAGACAAUCGGAUCUUCAAGUUCUUGGUUGGCCUUAAUGUCGAGUUUGAUGAGGUAAGGAGGAGAAUCAUUGGAAGACAACCCCUGCCUUCAAUUGGUGAAGUUUUUUCAGAAGUUAGAAGAGAAGAGAGUCGGAGGAAUGUGAUGCUGGGCAAGAAGGGACUCGGAGUUGCUAUUGAAGGUUCAACCUUGGUUACCACGAGUGGAGGCUAUAAUAAAGCUGCUGCGUUUUAGCGCAAAUCAAAUGAAAGACCACAGGUUUGGUGUGAUUUUUGUAACAAACCUUGCUAUACUCGUGAGAACUGUUGGAAAAUCCAUGGGAAACCUGCAAAUUGGAAAGGAAAAACAGGUGACAAACCAGGCCGACCCAUUAUUCCUACUGCUAAUGAGGCUGAGACCAGCCCCUUCACCACUGAGCAAAUGGAGCAUCUUCUUGCACUGCUGAAAUCCAACUUGACAUCCGGUACUUCUAGUAUUUCUUUGGCACACACAGGUAAUGAAUUAUAUGCUCUAUCUUGUCGUUUUAAAUCUACUCCAUGGAUAAUCGAUUCUGGAGCAUCCGACCACAUGACCAAUUCCUCAAACAUGUUUG